RNAcentral lists this ribosomal RNA (406 nucleotides) under uncultured bacterium. RNAcentral describes it as "partial 16S ribosomal RNA". It matches the Rfam family "Bacterial small subunit ribosomal RNA", at positions 30 to 526 of the family's 1533-position model. The record is from RNAcentral.
AUUGAACGCUGGCGGCAGGCCUAACACAUGCAAGUCGAACGAGUGGCGGACGGGUGAGUAAUGUCUGGGAAACUGCCCGAUGGAGGGGGAUAACUACUGGAAACGGUAGCUAAUACCGCGUACCAUCGGAUGUGCCCAGAUGGGAUUAGCUUGUAGGUGAGGUAACGGCUCACCUAGGCGACGAUCCCUAGCUGGUCUGAGAGGAGGACCAGUCAGUCGUGAACUGAGCGACGGUACAUACUCCUACGUGAGGCAGAAGUGGGGAAUAUUGCACCAGGGGCGAAAGCCUGAUGCAGCCAUGCCGCGGUGAUGAAGAAGGCCUUCGGGUUGUAAAGUACUUUCAGCGGGGAGGCGUUACCCGCAGAAGAAGCACCGGCUAACGCCGUGCCAGCAGCCGCGGUAAUAC